UACAUGGGGUGCAAACGUUGCUCGGAAUUAUUGGGCGUAAAGCGCGCGUAGGCGGUUACUUAAGUCGGAUGUGAAAGCCCUCGGCUUAACUGAGGAAGUGCAUCCGAAACUGAGUAGCUAGAGUACGAAAGAGGGUCGCGGAAUUCCCGGUGUAGAGGUGAAAUUCGUAGAUAUCGGGAGGAACACCGGUGGCGAAGGCGGCGACCUGGGUCGAGACUGACGCUGAGGCGCGAAAGCGUGGGGAGCAAACAGG
Molecule: ribosomal RNA, 253 nt
Filed under: uncultured bacterium
Lineage: Bacteria
Description: partial 16S ribosomal RNA
Rfam family: Bacterial small subunit ribosomal RNA
Source: RNAcentral